Molecule: long non-coding RNA, 570 nt
Organism: Octopus sinensis (East Asian common octopus)
Lineage: Eukaryota; Metazoa; Mollusca; Cephalopoda; Octopoda; Octopodidae
Exons: 4
Source: RefSeq, a predicted model, not a curated record
UUCCAUAACAUUCUAUACCACUUUGUAAACUCUAUGGUGAUAAUGUAACCAAGUUUCAGGAACAGUUACGCAAACAAAGUUUACGAAUAUCACAUAUGAACUCAGUUCAGUGGCGGGUUGAUUAUGUUAUCAGUUCGAAAUCACUAAAGACAGUAAACAAACCAAAUGUACAGAUAUGUUUAAAAGUUGUAAACCCAGACACAGGAAACGCAAAACCAGUUGUAUUUAAUAUGUCUGCAGAAAAAUUUCGUGUUUUUCUAAAUGAACUAAAACAAGUUGAUACCAUAAUGGACAACCUGAAUUCAUCAUAACAAAUAAUGUACAGCUGUCUUCUUGGCAAAUGAAUUCUCUGCAGAAACAGUUCAGACUUGGUGCUCUUAGGAAAACCCUGAAUAGAUACCACAAACUCUUUUCCUUUCCCCAAUCUCAAUAGGCUUAAUUCAGAAAUCAUCUGAUUCACAGUUGUAUCUUUUUCCUGUCCUUAGGUAAGGCAUGAAUUUCACAACUUUUGUAUGGUUAAGGCUGACCAAUGAUUACAGAAUCUAUUUGGCAUAUUUAGUAGAGAUUAUU